CAGCAGCCACGGUAAUACGAAGGUCCCGAGCGUUGUUCGGAAUCACUGGGCGUAAAGGGAGCGUAGGCGGCGUGGUAAGUCAGAUGUGAAAUCCCGGGGCUCAACCCCGGAACUGCAUCCGAUACUGCCAUGCUAGAGGAUUGGAGAGGUAGCUGGAAUUCUUGGUGUAGCAGUGUAAUGCGUGGAGAUCAAGAGGAACACUCGUGGCGAAAGCGAGCUACUGGACAAUAACUGACGCUGAGGCUCGAAGGCCAGGGUAGCGAAAGGGAUUAGAUACCCCCGUAGUCCCUGUCUCUUAUAC
Molecule: ribosomal RNA, 301 nt
Filed under: uncultured bacterium
Lineage: Bacteria
Description: partial 16S ribosomal RNA
Rfam family: Bacterial small subunit ribosomal RNA
Source: RNAcentral